GGUGUGAUGGCUGAGAUUAGGCAGUAAAUUGUAAAUUUACCAACGAAAAAUUUUUCUUACACCA
RNAcentral lists this transfer RNA (64 nucleotides) under Morimospasma tuberculatum. RNAcentral describes it as "tRNA-Tyr". The record is from RNAcentral. RNAcentral also lists the same sequence under 1 other name. Lineage: Eukaryota; Metazoa; Arthropoda; Insecta; Coleoptera; Cerambycidae.